GACGAACGCUGGCGGCGUGCCUAAUACAUGCAAGUCGAACGCUUCUUUCCUCCCGAGUGCUUGCACUCAAUUGGAAAGAGGAGUGGCGGACGGGUGAGUAACACGUGGGUAACCUACCCAUCAGAGGGGGAUAACACUUGGAAACAGGUGCUAAUACCGCAUAACAGUUUAUGCCGCAUGGCAUAAGAGUGAAAGGCGCUUUCGGGGGUCGCUGAUGGAUGGACCCGCGGUGCAUUAGCUAGUUGGUGAGGUAACGGCUCACCAAGGCCACGAUGCAUAGCCGACCUGAGAGGGUGAUCGGCCACACUGGAACUGAGACACGGCCCAGACUCCUACGGGAGGCAGCAGUAGGGAAUCUUCGGCAAUGGACGAAAGUCUGACCGAGCAACGCCGCGUGAGUGAAGAAGGUUUUCGGAUCGUAAAACUCUGUUGUUAGAGAAGAACAAGGACGUUAGUAACUGAACGUCCCCUGACGGUAUCUAACCAGAAAGCCACGGCUAACUACGUG
RNAcentral lists this ribosomal RNA (508 nucleotides) under uncultured bacterium. RNAcentral's name for it is "partial 16S ribosomal RNA". It matches the Rfam family "Bacterial small subunit ribosomal RNA", at positions 28 to 507 of the family's 1533-position model. The record is from RNAcentral.